UGGGGAAUAUUGGACAAUGGGCGCAAGCCUGAUCCAGCCAUGCCGCGUGAGUGAUGAAGGCCCUAGGGUUGUAAAGCUCUUUCACCGGUGAAGAUAAUGACGGUAACAGGAGAAGAAGACCCGGCUAACUUCGGGCCAGCAGCCGCGGUAAUACGAAGGGGGCUAGCGUUGUUCGGAUUUACUGGGCGUAAAGCGCAAGUAGGCGGACUAUUAAGUCAGGGGUGAAAUCCCGGGGCUCAACCCCGGAACUGCCUUUGAUACUGGUAGUCUUGAGUUCGAGCGAGGUGAGUGGAAUUCCGAGUGUAGAGGUGAAAUUCGUAGAUCUUCGGAGGAACACCAGUGGCGAAGGCGGCUCACUUGCUCGAUCCUGACGCUGCGGUGCGAAAGCGUGGGGAGCAAACAGG
Molecule: ribosomal RNA, 404 nt
Filed under: Actinomycetes bacterium
Lineage: Bacteria; Bacillati; Actinomycetota; Actinomycetes
Description: Actinobacteria bacterium partial 16S ribosomal RNA
Rfam family: Bacterial small subunit ribosomal RNA
Source: RNAcentral